RNAcentral lists this long non-coding RNA (862 nucleotides) under Panax ginseng (ginseng). RNAcentral's name for it is "long non-coding RNA (PGIN_LNC005981)". Lineage: Eukaryota; Viridiplantae; Streptophyta; Magnoliopsida; Apiales; Araliaceae. The record is from RNAcentral.
UCCAUAAAUGAAAGAGCACUCAUAGAGAUUCAGAGUAUUGGAUUUUUCCCAGUUCUAUACAGACAUUCUUUUUCUUCUUCUUUAAGUGGCAUCAAUUUUUUUUAAGGAGGGAUAUACAUCCUGUUUCGUACUUUUACUUAUCCAAAAAAUAUCAUGGUUCAUACUUCUGUUUCAUUCUUUCACUUAUCAAAAAAAUCAUGGUUCAUACUUUUUUAGCAGGUAUGAAAAGCCUUAAUAUUUUUAUUUGAUUGCUUCCUUUUUUGUUCAGCCUGAUUUAGCACAAACAGGGGAUGAAGAAAUUAGUCGAGAUAUCUGUAGACUAGAAGAAAAUUACCAUGAGCAGGUAACAUUUGAUUGCAUAUUGAAAAUCUUUCAUGUCAAACUGGUAAAGCAAAGAACUAGAUUUGACCAGGCUAAUAUAACCAAACUAAGCAACAUUCAAAGAAGUGUUUGACCUUUUGGAAUUCAAGGUCAAUAAAAAUUUCAAUAUUUUUGUUAUUUUAUUUUUUUCGUUUUUUGUUGUUUAUGUGAACAGGUUUGACAAGAGCAACACCAGCUUGUAUCGGAACAUGGAAGCACCCCUGCACUUGAGUGCUACUUUAAGGUAAUGAUAUCCUUAUCAUUAUAUUAAUUUUUAAAUUUAUUUAAUAUUUGAUAUAACUGCAAAAAUAGAGAAAAAGAAGGGUGGAGAUUUGGAUUUUGAAUUUGGAGGUUGGGGAGAGUUAUUGGAAGGGAGGGUAGGUCUAGGGGUCUAGGUCAUAGAUUAUUAUUUUUAUAAGUUCUAAAUAUAUAUAUUUAUAUAGUAUAUAUAUUUAUAUUUAUUAUAAAUAUAUAUAUAUAUAUAUAUAUAUAUAUAUAUGAA